RNAcentral lists this ribosomal RNA (429 nucleotides) under bacterium. Its description in RNAcentral is "partial 16S ribosomal RNA". It matches the Rfam family "Bacterial small subunit ribosomal RNA", at positions 355 to 776 of the family's 1533-position model. The record is from RNAcentral.
UAGGGAAUCUUCGGCAAUGGGGGCAACCCUGACCGAGCAACGCCGCGUGAGUGAAGAAGGUUUUCGGAUCGUAAAGCUCUGUUGUAAGAGAAGAACGUGUGUGAGAGUGGAAAGUUCACACAGUGACGGUAACUUACCAGAAAGGGACGGCUAACUACGUGCCACCAGCAGCGGUAAUACGUAGGUCACGAGCGUUGUCCGGAUUUAUUGGGCGUAAAGCGAGCGCAGGCGGUUUAAUAAGUCUGAAGUUAAAGGCAGUGGCUUAACCAUUGUUCGCUUUGGAAACUGUUAUACUUGAGUGCAGAAGGGGAGAGUUGGAUUCCAUGUGUAGCGGUGAAAUGCGUAGAUAUAUGGAGGAACACCGGUGGCGAAAGCGGCUCUCUGGACUGUAACUGACGCUGAGGCGCGAAAGCGUGGGGAGCAAACAGG